Molecule: transfer RNA, 64 nt
Filed under: Cacopsylla citrisuga
Lineage: Eukaryota; Metazoa; Arthropoda; Insecta; Hemiptera; Psyllidae
Description: tRNA-Phe
Source: RNAcentral
UUCUAAGUAGUUUAAUAAGAAUAUAACUUUGAAGAAGUUAAGGUAGGGUUUUAACUUUUGGAAA